GCGCAUAUAGCUCAGCCAGGCAGAGCGCCGGAGUGAUCCGGAGGUCGCGGGUUCGACUCCCGUUAUGUGCUCCA
This 74-nucleotide transfer RNA is filed under the name Devosia sp. Root105. RNAcentral's name for it is "tRNA-OTHER". It matches the Rfam family "tRNA". From Rfam's summary of the family: Transfer RNA (tRNA) molecules are approximately 80 nucleotides in length. Their secondary structure includes four short double-helical elements and three loops (D, anti-codon, and T loops). Lineage: Bacteria; Pseudomonadati; Pseudomonadota; Alphaproteobacteria; Hyphomicrobiales; Devosiaceae. The record is from RNAcentral.